RNAcentral lists this ribosomal RNA (304 nucleotides) under Terebellides gingko. RNAcentral describes it as "partial 16S ribosomal RNA". Lineage: Eukaryota; Metazoa; Annelida; Polychaeta; Terebellida; Trichobranchidae. The record is from RNAcentral.
UAAUUGUGGGCUUGUACGAAAGGAUAAACGAAGGUUAUGCUGUCUCAAAAAUACCCAUAUAAAUUGGCCUUUAGGUGAAAAGACCUAAAUCCUAUUAGAGGACAAAAAGACCCCGUAGAGCUUCGUAUAUUAAUAAUUUUACUUUUAUAUUUAAUAAAAUCUUUAAAUAUUAAUAAAAUAUACUUAGCUGGGGCGGCUAUGGAACACAAAUCUUCCAUAAAACACUAAAGAUACUUUCAAAUCUUAAUAAACAAAUGAUCCUUUUAAGAUCAAAGAAAUAAGCUACCUCGGGGAUAACAGAUUA